UACGUAGGUGGCGAGCGUUAUCCGGAUUUACUGGGCGUAAAGGGUGUGCAGGCUGCCCCUCAAGUGGUGUAUGAAAGGGCUCGGCUCAACCGGGCUAGGUUAUGCCAGACUGAGGGGCUAGAGAGCGAGAGCGGGACGUGGAAUUCCGGGUGUAGUGGUGAAAUGCGUAGAGAUCCGGAGGAACACCAGUGGCGAAGGCGGCUCGCUGGACCUGACCUGACGCUGAGGCGCGAAGGCGUGGGGAGCGAACGGG
This 253-nucleotide ribosomal RNA is filed under the name uncultured bacterium. Its description in RNAcentral is "partial 16S ribosomal RNA". It matches the Rfam family "Bacterial small subunit ribosomal RNA", at positions 524 to 776 of the family's 1533-position model. The record is from RNAcentral.